GUUGAGUCACGGGUCGAUUUAAUCACGACUUAUGAGUGACAAUAUACUCGAUGUCGAAGGCAUUGUAACCCAACAAGUGGGGAGUUCAAUUUGGUUGGGACAAAUUGAACGAUCUGCGGUAGCAGCGAUAAAUGACGUGGUGUGGUUGGAAGUUGAGCCAUGCCCGGAUGUUGUUGUUACUUUGUGAUGCUGAUGCGAUUUGUUAGUUGUUGCGGUGAUGUCAAGUUGUUUGGGGAUCUUAGUUUUAUGCUUAACUAGUAUCUUCAUGAGGCAUGCACUAUCAAUCCGAUUGUAUGGCAUGUUGUUGUUUGAUUGUUGCCUUACGAUUGGAUUGUUGGUGUAACCGAUGACAUGAUUUGGCUUGUUAAUCUUAAAAUUGGGGUUGGUUUAUUGUGUUGUUGGUGAUGACAUUCGUCUCGAGGUGAUGCGGUGUCAUGUUGCCUGUGUAUCCUGGUAUUGAGCUAUUUAGCUUAAAACAUGUGGAUUUUCGGUUUGUGACACGGCAUCGCUCCCUUGGUUGAUGAAAGUCGUCCAACGAUGCGGUGGUUUGUUUGUUUUCUUCUCGCAUCGCUCGGUGCAUUCUGUGGUCAUUUUGGCUGUUGGCAUCUUACUUGGCAAUUGAGCUUGGUGGGUUGCUACUGGUUGGGUGUCUUCGGGGAUGUCUACCGUAAAGGUGCAUGAGUGGUGUUUGGUUUGUUACGGGUGGUUGGCUCUUUGCUUGCGCAACAACUUCCACCCGGCAUACCUCUUCAGUCUUGUGUCAAUGCUUGUAUUGCAUUGAAUGCAUGGUGGGUUUCUUGUGUUGCAUGCCUAAUUAAUGGUAUCCCUUGAUGAAUUGGUUUUCCUUUCGUCUUGCAUUGCCUAUGCGAUGUGAGAUGAAUCUUGAAGCAGCCUUUGUGAUCCACUCUUUUGAUGCAUACGCAUUGAUUUUGUGGCCCAUUGAGUGUUGCUUGGUCUCAUGGAUAUGGAACCUGGUGUGGGCAUGGAAUCUUAAUGGUUCCUUGUUUGCCCAAGUUUAGCUUUUCUAAAACGAUUGUCU
RNAcentral lists this unclassified non-coding RNA (1039 nucleotides) under Helichrysum confertifolium. Its description in RNAcentral is "contains 5' external transcribed spacer, ETS". Lineage: Eukaryota; Viridiplantae; Streptophyta; Magnoliopsida; Asterales; Asteraceae. The record is from RNAcentral.